RNAcentral lists this ribosomal RNA (710 nucleotides) under Roseovarius sp. RNAcentral describes it as "bacterial SSU rRNA". It matches the Rfam family "Bacterial small subunit ribosomal RNA", at positions 41 to 795 of the family's 1533-position model. The record is from RNAcentral. Lineage: Bacteria; Pseudomonadati; Pseudomonadota; Alphaproteobacteria; Rhodobacterales; Roseobacteraceae.
GGCAUGCGCAGCUACACAUGCAGUCGAGCGAGAUCUUCGGAUCUAGCGGCGGACGGGUGAGUAACGCGUGGGAACGUACCCUCUUCUGCGGGAUAGCCACUGGAAACGGUGAGUAAUACCGCAUACGCCCUUCGGGGGAAAGAUUUAUCGGAGGAGGAUCGGCCCGCGUUGGAUUAGGUAGUUGGUGGGGUAAUGGCCUACCAAGCCUACGAUCCAUAGCUGGUUUUAGAGGAUGAUCAGCCACACUGGGACUGAGACACGGCCCAGACUCCUACGGGAGGCAGCAGUGGGGAAUCUUAGACAAUGGGCGCAAGCCUGAUCUAGCCAUGCCGCGUGAGUGACGAAGGCCUUAGGGUCGUAAAGCUCUUUCGCCUGUGAUGAUAAUGACAGUAGCAGGUAAAGAAACCCCGGCUAACUCCGUGCCAGCAGCCGCGGUAAUACGGAGGGGGUUAGCGUUGUUCGGAAUUACUGGGCGUAAAGCGCACGUAGGCGGAUUGGAAAGUAUGGGGUGAAAUCCCAGGGCUCAACCCUGGAACGGCCUCAUAAACUUCCAGUCUGGAGUUCGAGAGAGGUGAGUGGAAUUCCGAGUGUAGAGGUGAAAUUCGUAGAUAUUCGGAGGAACACCAGUGGCGAAGGCGGCUCACUGGCUCGAUACUGACGCUGAGGUGCGAAAGUGUGGGGAGCAAACAGGAUUAGAUACCCUGGUAGUC